UUUUCUACUGUUUGAUACCAGCUGGUGCCAGAGGUUCUGCAAAUGACAAGGCAAUGGUGAGGUGUCCUUUGUGAUUAUCUUCAUCUGGUGAAAAUGAGCUGCUGGAUUGGCACCUGCUUUCUCGCUCCGGCAAACAGAAAUGAAAGGAGCAAAACAUAUAACAGGAAGCUCCUAUAAUAAAUCCACCAGCUCUCUAGGAGUCCCUGACAAGGCCUGUGAAAUUUCUUUGUAACCUGAAGAUGGAAGAUCUUACUAGAUGAGGAAAGCAAGUGAGCAUUGACCUCCAGCACCAGAAUGUGUAAUGUGAAAUUUCUUGGUAAAUGAAGCUGACAAAAAGCUACUACACCCAUUGAAAUUAACUAAAUCAUAGGAAAAAUCAAUUCUUAAUUCUGCCUUUAAAAUUGUGCCAUAGAAUCAAUGUUUAGAAAACCUUUAAAAA
Molecule: long non-coding RNA, 439 nt
Organism: Cyanistes caeruleus (blue tit)
Lineage: Eukaryota; Metazoa; Chordata; Aves; Passeriformes; Paridae
Source: RefSeq, a predicted model, not a curated record